This 952-nucleotide small RNA is filed under the name Drosophila pseudoobscura pseudoobscura. RNAcentral describes it as "GA31439". The record is from RNAcentral. Lineage: Eukaryota; Metazoa; Arthropoda; Insecta; Diptera; Drosophilidae.
AUAAUGUAUUAGAAUUUAUUUCAGAACCACAUCGUUUCUUAUCUCGGCUAUGAAUGCCAAUGCACCGCUAUCAUAGUGGCGAUAAGAACGAUGAGAAGAAUGACGAUUAUGUAGAAUAACAAGCACAUGGCUGCAAUACUUCAGAUGCUUGAGGACAAAUAAUUCGACUGUCAGGAGUACAGAACGAUGGUUCAUCAACCGAAAAUUUACGCUGCAGAUCCAGUAAAAAAUUCCCAGAGUUUGUUGAAUGUUUGGAGAUGUGAGAGCUGCCAAAGAAUAUGUGAUACUGACAUUUAGAACUCGGCCUACAAGGAAAACGUUCCUUAUUUUGCUGAUAUUAUUGUAGAAAAAUACAGAGGGGACCUCAACAUAAAUCUGUUCAAAUCAAUAAGUUAGAAAAUCAAUUUUCAAAGGAAGCAAUGAAUCCGUCAAGCCCAACAGAACCUGCUAUAGGCCUGCAGUCCCAGUGCGCCGAAUAUUCCACGUCCAGCUCCACGCCACGCGACUGGGCUAUGAAAAGGGAUAGCUGGUUCCAAGCCCGUUAUAGGAAUAGACCAUCGUGUCCCAUUUAUGUACGAACUGGAUUGGUGCCCCUCAAAAAGUGCCGCAAGGCCGAGAAGGCUCUUGAGAUGGAAUCCACUUUCAAAGCUCCACUGUCGGAAACUGCACAGGUCAUUGCCAGUCAAUCAACAGACAUCCAAAAUUAAAAAAACCUUCGUGUAAAUUAUGAAAAAGUUAGACUAUUUCAUGCAGUUUGGUGUCGAAUACAUAUUGAUUUUGGGGGUGCUGGUCAACUUGGUGGUCAUUUGCAAUCCUUUUAGUACAGAGACCUCUGAAACACGGUAUGAGAAAAAAAUGAGCCGUGCAAGCCCGUCAAUGAAGGCGGUAUUUUUUAUUUUAAAACACCUCAUUGGUCGUGAGAUCUUUUAGGAUCUCUUUUAUAUUUUUGAUU